This 253-nucleotide ribosomal RNA is filed under the name uncultured bacterium. Its description in RNAcentral is "partial 16S ribosomal RNA". It matches the Rfam family "Bacterial small subunit ribosomal RNA", at positions 524 to 776 of the family's 1533-position model. The record is from RNAcentral.
UACGGAGGGUGCGAGCGUUGUCCGGAAUCACUGGGCGUAAAGCGCACGUAGGCGGCUUCUUAAGUCAGGGGUGAAAUCCUGGAGCUCAACUCCAGAACUGCCUUUGAUACUGAGGAGCUUGAGUCCGGGAGAGGUGAGUGGAACUGCGAGUGUAGAGGUGAAAUUCGUAGAUAUUCGCAAGAACACCAGUGGCGAAGGCGGCUCACUGGCCCGGUACUGACGCUGAGGUGCGAAAGCGUGGGGAGCAAACAGG